UACGUAGGUGGCAAGCGUUGUCCGGAUUUAUUGGGUUUAAAGGGUGCGUAGGCGGCUUUGUAAGUCAGUGGUGAAAUAUGGCAGCUCAACUGUCAAGGUGCCAUUGAUACUGCGGAGCUUGAGUACAGAUGAGGUAGGCGGAAUUGACGGUGUAGCGGUGAAAUGCUUAGAUAUCGUCAAGAACACCUAUAGCGAAGGCAGCUUACUAGGCUGUAACUGACGCUGAGGCACGAAAGUGUGGGGAGCAAACAGG
Molecule: ribosomal RNA, 253 nt
Filed under: uncultured bacterium
Lineage: Bacteria
Description: partial 16S ribosomal RNA
Rfam family: Bacterial small subunit ribosomal RNA
Source: RNAcentral